RNAcentral lists this transfer RNA (98 nucleotides) under Citrobacter freundii. Its description in RNAcentral is "tRNA-OTHER". Lineage: Bacteria; Pseudomonadati; Pseudomonadota; Gammaproteobacteria; Enterobacterales; Enterobacteriaceae. The record is from RNAcentral.
GAAGAGUUAAGUUGUUGAAAAUAAUACCAAUGAAAUCGGUCUCGAAAACCGGAGUAGGGGCAACUCUACCGGGGGUUCAAAUCCCCCUCUCUCCGCCA